Molecule: ribosomal RNA, 411 nt
Filed under: Triticum aestivum (bread wheat)
Lineage: Eukaryota; Viridiplantae; Streptophyta; Magnoliopsida; Poales; Poaceae
Description: partial small subunit ribosomal RNA
Source: RNAcentral
AUGUCCAUCUUCGACGAGUUCUAUGUGGGUUCCAUUGACCUCGGUCGCCUCAACUAUGGGAUCAUUUCGCUCAUCCCCAAAGUGGCUGGGGCAUCCGACAUCCGCUAGUUCCGUCCAAUUAUGGUGAUCAACGUGAUCUUCUGGAUCCUGGCAAAAGGGUACGCCAAUAGGGUGACCCUGCUUGCGGAUCGCAUUACCCACCCACAGUCGGCAUUCAUUCAAGGGUGCUAUAUCUUGGACGGGGUUCUAGUCCUUCAUGAAGUCCUCCAUGUGGUUCGCUCGAAGCACCUCAAGGCGGUCUUCCUGAAGAUCGAUUUCCAUAAGGCCUACUAUACAGUCAGCUUGUCCUUCCUUCGGGAAGUUUUGCUCCGGAAGGGCUUCGAUGACCAUUGGGCCACCUGCAUGAUGUAG